AGCAGCCGCGGUGAUUCCAGCUCCAAUAGCGUAUAUUAAAGUUGUUGCAGUUAAAAAGCUCGUAGUUGAAUUUCGGGAUCAGUAUGUUGGUCGUGCUUCGGUACGUACUGUCAUUACUGGUUUCUACCUUCUGAAGAACCAUGAUGUCAUUAAUUUGGUGUCGUGGGGAAUCAGGACUGUUACUUUGAAAAAUUAGAGUGUUUAAAGCAGGCUCGCGCUUGAAUACAUUAGCAUGGAAUAAUGAAAUAGGACGUUUGAUUCUAUUUUGUUGGUUUCUAGGAUCGACGUAAUGAUUAAUAGGGAUAGUUGGGGGCAUUAGUAUUCAAUUGUCAGAGGUGAAAUUCUUGGAUUUAUUGAAGACUAACUACUGCGAAAGCAUUUGCCAAGGUAUGUU
RNAcentral lists this small RNA (394 nucleotides) under uncultured Glomus. RNAcentral's name for it is "SSU rRNA". It matches the Rfam family "Eukaryotic small subunit ribosomal RNA", at positions 569 to 968 of the family's 1831-position model. The record is from RNAcentral. Lineage: Eukaryota; Fungi; Glomeromycota; Glomeromycetes; Glomerales; Glomeraceae.